UCCUUUCUGUUGUAUAACUGACUAGGUAUCCCCCUUUCUGUUGUACAACUGACUAGGUAUCCCCCUUUCCUUUCUGUUGUAUAACUGACUAGGUAUCCCCCUUUCCUUUCUGUUGUAUAACUGACUAGGUAUCCCCCUUUCUGUUGUAUAACUGACUAGGUAUCCCCCUUUCCUUUCUGUUGUACAACUGACUAGGUAUCCCCCUUUCUGUUGUACAACUGACUAGGUAUCCCCCUUUCCUUUCUGUUGUACAACUGACUAGGUAUCCCCCUUUCCUUUCUGUUGUACAAUUGACUAGGUAUCCCCCUUUCUGUUGUACAACUGACUAGGUAUCCCCCUUUCCUUUCUGUUGUACAACUGACUAGGUAUCCCCCUUUCUGUUGUACAACUGACAAGGUAUCCCCCUUUCUGUUGUACAACUGACUAGGUAUCCCCCUUUCUGUUGUACAACUGACUAGGUAUCCCCCUUUCUGUUGUAUAACUGACUAGGUAUCCCCCUUUCCUUUCUGUUGUACAACUGACUAGGUAUCCCCCUUUCCUUUCUGUUGUACAACUGACUAGGUAUCCCCCCUUUCCUUUCUGUUGUAUAACUGACUAGGUAUCCCCCUUUCUGUUGUAUAACUGACUAGGUAUCCCCCUUUCUGUUGUAUAACUGACUAGG
Oncorhynchus keta (chum salmon) is the source of this 661-nucleotide long non-coding RNA. RefSeq lists it as uncharacterized. NCBI's taxonomy places the organism in Eukaryota, Metazoa, Chordata, Actinopteri, Salmoniformes, Salmonidae. The transcript has 4 exons. The record is from RefSeq and is a predicted model, not a curated record.